RNAcentral lists this ribosomal RNA (225 nucleotides) under uncultured bacterium. RNAcentral's name for it is "partial 16S ribosomal RNA". It matches the Rfam family "Bacterial small subunit ribosomal RNA", at positions 118 to 342 of the family's 1533-position model. The record is from RNAcentral.
UGAGUAACCUGCCCUUAACUCUGGGAUAAGCCUGGGAAACUGGGUCUAAUACCGGAUAUGACUCCUCAUCGCAUGGUGGGGGGUGGAAAGCUUUAUUGUGGUUUUGGAUGGACUCGCGGCCUAUCAGCUUGUUGGUGAGGUAAUAGCUCACCAAGGCGAUGACGGGUAGCUGGUCUGAGAGGAUGGCCAGCCACAUUGGGACUGAGACACGGCCCAGCUCCGUAG